RNAcentral lists this unclassified non-coding RNA (216 nucleotides) under uncultured fungus. RNAcentral's name for it is "sequence contains ITS1". The record is from RNAcentral. Lineage: Eukaryota; Fungi.
UUAACUUAUUUGUUUUCACUCAGAGAUUCCGUAUAUGACAUGAGAGUUUCGUACCUCCGGCGGGCGCCCCGCAACCCCGGGUGACCGGGGCCGGAGGGCAGCGGCGGCCCGGUGAAGGGCCCCCGCGCCGCCGAAGCAACUUGGAAGAGUUCGCGAUGGUUUGAAGUAGCCUUUCGGCUUCUUGUAAUGAUCCCUCCGCUGGUUCACCAACGGAGA